RNAcentral lists this ribosomal RNA (164 nucleotides) under Acinetobacter baumannii. RNAcentral's name for it is "partial 23S ribosomal RNA". It matches the Rfam family "Bacterial large subunit ribosomal RNA", at positions 2779 to 2925 of the family's 2925-position model. Lineage: Bacteria; Pseudomonadati; Pseudomonadota; Gammaproteobacteria; Moraxellales; Moraxellaceae. The record is from RNAcentral.
AUCUAAGCACGAAACUUGCCCCGAGAUGAGUUCUCCCUGAGACUUUAAGUCUCCUGAAGGAACGUUAAAGACGAUGACGUUGAUAGGCCGGGUGUGUAAGCGCAGCGAUGCGUUGAGCUAACCGGUACUAAUGAACCGUGAGGCUUAACCUUACAACGCCGAAG